GACGAACGCUGGCGACGUGCCUAAUACAUGCAAGUCGAGCGGAACUGGUGGAGCUUGCUCCUUCCAGUUUAGCGGCGGACGGGUGAGUAACACGUGGGCAACCUGCCCUGCAGAUCGGGAUAACUCCGGGAAACCGGUGCUAAUACCGAAUAGUUUGAGGCCUCUCCUGAGGCUUCACGGAAAGACGGUUUCGGCUGUCACUGCAGGAUGGGCCCGCGGCGCAUUAGCUAGUUGGUGGGGUAACGGCCCACCAAGGCCACGAUGCGUAGCCGACCUGAGAGGGUGACCGGCCACACUGGGACUGAGACACGGCCCAGACUACUACGGGAGGCAGCAGUAGGGAAUCUUCCGGAAUGGACGCAAGGCUGACGGAGCAACGCCGCGUGAGUGACGAAGGUUUUCGGAUCGUAAAACUCUGUUGUGAGGGAAGAACACGUACCAACUAACUACUGGUACCUUGACGGUACCUCACCAGAAAGCCACGGCUAACUACGUGCCAGCCGCCGCAGUAA
This 512-nucleotide ribosomal RNA is filed under the name uncultured bacterium. RNAcentral describes it as "partial 16S ribosomal RNA". It matches the Rfam family "Bacterial small subunit ribosomal RNA", at positions 28 to 523 of the family's 1533-position model. The record is from RNAcentral.